This 415-nucleotide long non-coding RNA is filed under the name Eucalyptus grandis. RNAcentral describes it as "long non-coding RNA (EGRA_LNC006515)". Lineage: Eukaryota; Viridiplantae; Streptophyta; Magnoliopsida; Myrtales; Myrtaceae. The record is from RNAcentral.
CGAUUCUUCUAUAUCGAUGACUGCAACUCUUCAAGGAUGCAGAUUUCGAAAGCUCCGACUCUUCAAGGACGGAGUGAAAACUCUUCUAGGUUUUCAAGGGUAUGAACUCUACAAGGUUCAUGAUACUUGCUUCAAGCAAAGCUUUUCAUUCAUCAAAAGCUGUUCGUCUUCUACCAGAAAUUGGAUGGCUUAUAUCGUCAAAGAAAUAAAGACAGAGCAUUGAAACUAGGAGAAAUAAAGACAGAACAUUAAAACUAGGAGAAAUAAUAAAAACAUAACGUCUUCAUGGCUCCCAAGGUGUCUUUCCAGCUUCCGGGAUGGACUCAAGAUGUCGUUAUGGCUUCUCGGUUUCGUCGAGCUUUAAUGCGGGCCGAUCUUCUUGGUCGAGAGAGCCGGUCUUCAAUGUGGGCUGCAU